UCUGCUAUAUCCGGCGGAAUUGGCAGACGCACGGGACUCAAAAUCCCGCGGUAGCAAUAUCGUAUCGGUUCGACUCCGAUCAGCGGCACCA
RNAcentral lists this transfer RNA (91 nucleotides) under Clostridium sp. JN-9. RNAcentral describes it as "tRNA-Leu". The stretch from base 13 to 80 matches the Rfam family "tRNA", at positions 9 to 63 of the family's 71-position model. From Rfam's summary of the family: Transfer RNA (tRNA) molecules are approximately 80 nucleotides in length. Their secondary structure includes four short double-helical elements and three loops (D, anti-codon, and T loops). Further hydrogen bonds mediate the characteristic L-shaped molecular structure. tRNAs have two regions of fundamental functional importance: the anti-codon, which is responsible for specific mRNA codon recognition, and the 3' end, to which the tRNAs corresponding amino acid is attached (by aminoacyl-tRNA synthetases). tRNAs cope with the degeneracy of the genetic code in two manners: having more than one tRNA (with a specific anti-codon) for a particular amino acid; and 'wobble' base-pairing, i.e. permitting non-standard base-pairing at the 3rd anti-codon position. Lineage: Bacteria; Bacillati; Bacillota; Clostridia; Eubacteriales; Clostridiaceae. The record is from RNAcentral.